RNAcentral lists this long non-coding RNA (205 nucleotides) under Gossypium barbadense (sea-island cotton). Its description in RNAcentral is "long non-coding RNA (GBAR_LNC020228)". The record is from RNAcentral. Lineage: Eukaryota; Viridiplantae; Streptophyta; Magnoliopsida; Malvales; Malvaceae.
CCGGGCCCAUUAAUACCUAACCUACCCUAGGUGCUUCCACUUGCACCGCCUCUCCUCCACCUGCUCCCAUCACCUCCUUGAACACCUGCAAACAUGACGGAAGCAGCAACAGAAGCAGAAACGCAGCAAACAGUAACAAAACAACAAUAGGACUUUGUAUAAUCGGCUAUAAAGAGCCAUUCAUUUUCAAUGUAAAAAGGAGGGG